This 264-nucleotide ribosomal RNA is filed under the name uncultured bacterium. Its description in RNAcentral is "partial 16S ribosomal RNA". It matches the Rfam family "Bacterial small subunit ribosomal RNA", at positions 92 to 354 of the family's 1533-position model. The record is from RNAcentral.
CGACCGGCGCACGGGUGAGCAACACGUAUGCAACCUGGCCGCCACAGGGGGAUAACCCGCGGAAACGCGGCCUAAUACCCCGUGACGCCACCGGAGGGCAUCCUCCGGUGGCCAAAGGAGCGAUCCGGUGGCGGAUGGGCAUGCGGCGCAUUAGCUAGACGGCGGGGUGACGGCCCACCGUGGCGACGAUGCGUAGGGGUUCUGAGAGGAAGGCCCCCCACACUGGGACUGAGACACGGCCCAGGCUCCUACGGGAGGCAGCAG